CACGCCGUAAACGAUGAGCACUAGGUGUCGGGGUCGCAAGGCUUCGGUGCCGCAGUUAACGCAUUAAGUGCUCCGCCUGGGGAGUACGCACGCAAGUGUGAAACUCAAAGGAAUUGACGGGGACCCGCACAAGCAGCGGAGCAUGUGGUUUAAUUCGAAGCAACGCGAAGAACCUUACCAGGGCUUGACAUCCCUCUGACCGGCCGGUAACGCGGCCUUCCCUUCGGGGCAGAGGUGACAGGUGGUGCAUGGUUGUCGUCAGCUCGUGUCGUGAGAUGUUGGGUUAAGUCCCGCAACGAGCGCAACCCUUGUCAUUAGUUGCCAUCAUUCAGUUGGGCACUCUAGUGAGACUGCCGGGGACAACUCG
Molecule: ribosomal RNA, 367 nt
Filed under: uncultured bacterium
Lineage: Bacteria
Description: bacterial SSU rRNA
Rfam family: Bacterial small subunit ribosomal RNA
Source: RNAcentral